GACGAACGCUGGCGGCGUGCUUAACACAUGCAAGUCGAACGCUGAAGCUCAGCUUUUGUUGGGUGGAUGAGUGGCGAACGGGUGAGUAACACGUGAGUAACCUGCCUCCUUCUUUGGGAUAACGCCCGGAAACGGGUGCUAAUACUGGAUAUUCAUUGGCCUUCGCAUGGGGGUUGGUGGAAAGGGUUUUUCUGGUGGGGGAUGGGCUCGCGGACUAUCCGCUUGUUGGUGGGGUGAUGGCCUACCAAGGCUUUGACGGGUAGCAGGGAUGAGUGGGUGACCGGUAACAGUGGGACUGAGAGACGGCGCAGGCUACUACGGGAGGCAGCAGUGGGGAAUAUUGAACAAGGGGCGGAAGCCUGAUGCAGCGACGCGGCGUGAGGGAUGGAGGCCUUCGGGUUGUGAACCUCUUUCGCUCAUGGUCAAGGCGCAACGAUUGUUGUGGUGAGGGUAGUGGGUAAAGAAGCGCCGGCUAACUACGUG
Molecule: ribosomal RNA, 483 nt
Filed under: uncultured bacterium
Lineage: Bacteria
Description: partial 16S ribosomal RNA
Rfam family: Bacterial small subunit ribosomal RNA
Source: RNAcentral